This 492-nucleotide ribosomal RNA is filed under the name uncultured bacterium. RNAcentral describes it as "partial 16S ribosomal RNA". It matches the Rfam family "Bacterial small subunit ribosomal RNA", at positions 29 to 507 of the family's 1533-position model. The record is from RNAcentral.
AGUGAACGCUGGCGGUAGGCCUAACACAUGCAAGUCGAACGGCAGCACAGUAAGAGCUUGCUCUUACGGGUGGCGAGUGGCGGACGGGUGAGGAAUACAUCGGAAUCUACUUUUUCGUGGGGGAUAACGUAGGGAAACUUACGCUAAUACCGCAUACGACCUACGGGUGAAAGCAGGGGAUCUUCGGACCUUGCGCGAUUGAACGAGCCGAUGUCGGAUUAGCUAGUUGGCGGGGUAAAGGCCCACCAAGGCGACGAUCCGUAGCUGGUCUGAGAGGAUGAUCAGCCACACUGGAAAGGAGACACGGUCCAGACUCCUACGGGAGGCAGCAGUGGGGAAUAUUGGACAAUGGGCGCAAGCCUGAUCCAGCCAUACCGCGUGGGUGAAGAAGGCCUUCGGGUUGUAAAGCCCUUUUGUUGGGAAAGAAAAGCAGCAGGUUAAUACCCCGCUGUUCUGACGGUACCCAAAGAAUAAGCACCGGCUAACUUCGUG